This 449-nucleotide ribosomal RNA is filed under the name uncultured bacterium. Its description in RNAcentral is "partial 16S ribosomal RNA". It matches the Rfam family "Bacterial small subunit ribosomal RNA", at positions 29 to 523 of the family's 1533-position model. The record is from RNAcentral.
AACGAACGCUGGCGGCAUGCCUAACGCAUGCAAGUCGAACGAGAUCUUCGGGUCUAGUGGCGCACGGGUGCGUAACGCGUGGGAAUCUGCCCUUUGGUUCGGAAUAACAGCUGGAAACGACUGCUAAUACCGGAUGAUGACGAAAGUCCAAAGAUUUAUCGCCAGAGGAUGAGCCCGCGUAGGAUUAGCUAGUUGGUGUGGUAAAGGCGCACCAAGGCGACGAUCCUUAGCUGGUCUGAGAGGAUGAUCAGCCACACUGGGACUGAGACACGGCCCAGACUCCUACGGGAGGCAGCAGUGGGGAAUAUUGGACAAUGGGCGAAAGCCUGAUCCAGCAAUGCCGCGUGAGUGAUGAAGGCCUUAGGGUUGUAAAGCUCUUUUACCCGGGAUGAUAAUGACAGUACCGGGAGAAUAAGCUCCGGCUAACUCCGUGCCAGCCGCCGCGGUAA